GGUUUGCUGACCCUUUUCGAGUGUGUAAUCUUUAGCUCUUGCUGCCUUUUCUGCUGCGGUUUGAGCGGCGGACGAAAGGCUCUCCUUCGCCUGCUGACCGGUUUGCUGACCCUUUUCGAGUGUGUAAUCUUUGGCUCUUGCUGCCUUCUCUGCAGCGGUUUGAGCGGCGGACGAAAGGCUCUCCUUCGCCUGCUGACCGGUUUGCUGACCCUUUUCGUGUGCGUAAUCUUUGGCUCUAGCAGCCUUCUCAGCGGCUGUUUGGGUGGCCGAAGAAAGGCUCUCCUUGGCCUGUUCACUUUUCAUGACGGUGUAAUCCGAUGCCCUAGCUGCAUUCUCCGCUGCAGUUUGGGUUGCACUCGAAAGGCGCUCUUCUGCCUGUUGACCAAUUUGGCCCCCCUUUGCAGAGGUGGUGGAUACGUUAUUUUUAAUCACCUGCCCACCCGUUACUCGACCGGUUUCACCGGCCCGAGUAGACAUCUCUUUCGACUUUCUAUACUGCUCCUCGGCAGCCCGAAUGGCAUCCAUGGAGUUCUGCUGUGCAACACCUCUAUACUUGGAAAUCUCUUCAAGAGAAGGCCCUUUGUAUUGAUCUUUAGCCUCACUUUGAUCACCAGCUGCACCAUGCACUGUUCCGACCACAUGGUGCACUACUGGUUGAUCACCUGAAUCUUUGACUGUGAGUGACUCAAAAUGACUGGCCAUUUUGGGGACUUUAUCUUUCUCGACAUGAAUUUCUCGCUCAUCAGUCUUGUUUUCUCUCCUUUGCUGCUGUGCCAUGAUGAUACUGAAGAUAUGUCGGUUUUAGGGUGAUGAUGAAGCAACGUGUCGGGCAGAGAGAGACGGGAUUGGUGAGUCAGCAAUUGGCGGUGACUGAGGGUGGCAAACAGUGGUACACGUGUAAGUAAUGCAAUGUUAUCUUUAAAACGUUGGACUUAACCUCGUUAAUUCUCGUUGGACCGUUUAUUAGCUUACACGUUAGCUUUGGAGAUAAAGCAAUCCAGCAACAAUUAUCAACUGUUUAAUAUUCUAAGUUUAGAUUUUGUUAGGAUCGUGAUUUACGUUUGUAAUCAGUAAUUUUUGGGUUAAUAAAAACAGAAAAGAGUCGUGGGAUUUCGUCCCUCACAAAUCACCGUGUUCAACGUCUUCUUUGUUUUUAUCAAUUGUUUGCCAACACAAAAUUCAUCGCAAAGAUUCGAGUCCUUUGGUCAAAUCUUUUCAUUUUGUUUUUUGUUUUAAUUUUAACAAGUUAGACUAUCCUCAACGUUUGCUUUGAAGGGGAUCUGA
This 1284-nucleotide long non-coding RNA is filed under the name Helianthus annuus (common sunflower). RNAcentral describes it as "sRNA HanXRQr2_Chr17g0800061". Lineage: Eukaryota; Viridiplantae; Streptophyta; Magnoliopsida; Asterales; Asteraceae. The record is from RNAcentral.